RNAcentral lists this ribosomal RNA (253 nucleotides) under uncultured bacterium. RNAcentral's name for it is "partial 16S ribosomal RNA". It matches the Rfam family "Bacterial small subunit ribosomal RNA", at positions 524 to 776 of the family's 1533-position model. The record is from RNAcentral.
UACAGAGGUCUCAAGCGUUGUUCGGAUUCAUUGGGCGUAAAGGGUGCGUAGGUGGCGCUGUAAGUCGGGUGUGAAAUUUCGGAGCUUAACUCCGAAACUGCAUUCGAUACUGCGGUGCUUGAGGACUGGAGAGGAGACUGGAAUUCAUGGUGUAGCAGUGAAAUGCGUAGAGAUCAUGAGGAAGACCAGUGGCGAAGGCGGGUUGCUGGGCUGACACUGACGCUGAGGCGCGAAAGCUAGGGGAGCGAACGGG